Molecule: ribosomal RNA, 468 nt
Filed under: uncultured bacterium
Lineage: Bacteria
Description: partial 16S ribosomal RNA
Rfam family: Bacterial small subunit ribosomal RNA
Source: RNAcentral
GACGAACGCUGGCGGCGUGCUUAACACAUGCAAGUCGAACGGAAAGGCCCUGCUUUUGUGGGGUGCUCGAGUGGCGAACGGGUGAGUAACACGUGAGUAACCUGCUCUUGACUUUGGGAUAACUUCAGGAAACUGGGGCUAAUACCGGAUAGGAGCUCCUGCUGCAUGGUGGGGGUUGGAAAGUUUCGGCGGUUGGGGAUGGACUCGCGGCUUAUCAGCUUGUUGGUGGGGUAGUGGCUUACCAAGGCUUUGACGGGUAGCCGGCCUGGGAGGGUGACCGGCCACAUUGGGACUGAGAUACGGCCCAGACUCCUACGGGAGGCAGCAGUGGGGAAUAUUGCACAAUGGGCGGAAGCCUGAUGCAGCAACGCCGCGUGCGGGAUGACGGCCUUCGGGUUGUAAACCGCUUUCGCCUGUGACGAAGCGUGAGUGACGGUAAUGGGUAAAGAAGCACCGGCUAACUACGUG